This 441-nucleotide ribosomal RNA is filed under the name uncultured bacterium. Its description in RNAcentral is "partial 16S ribosomal RNA". It matches the Rfam family "Bacterial small subunit ribosomal RNA", at positions 338 to 795 of the family's 1533-position model. The record is from RNAcentral.
CCUACGGGUGGCUGCAGUGGGGAAUAUUGGGCAAUGGACGCAAGUCUGACCCAGCAACGCCGCGUGAAGGAAGAAGGCUUUCGGGUUGUAAACUUCUUUUAAGGGGGAAGAACAGAAGGCGGUACCCCUUGCAUAAGCCACGGCUAACUACGUGCCAGCAGCCGCGGUUAUACGUAGGUGGCAAGCGUUUUCCGGAUUUACUGGGUGUAAGGGCGUGCAGCCGGAGAGGCAAGUCAGGUGUGAAAUCCGCGGGCUCAACUCGCGAACUGCAGUUGAAACUGCUUCCCUUGAGUAUCGGAGAGGUAAGCGGAAUGCGUAGUGUAGCGGUGAAAUGCGUAGAUAUUAGGAAGAACACCAGUGGCGAAGGCGGAUUACUGGACGACAACUGACGGUGAGGCGCGAAAGCGUGGGGAGCAAACAGGAUUAGAUACCCGAGUAGUC